RNAcentral lists this ribosomal RNA (253 nucleotides) under uncultured bacterium. RNAcentral's name for it is "partial 16S ribosomal RNA". It matches the Rfam family "Bacterial small subunit ribosomal RNA", at positions 524 to 776 of the family's 1533-position model. The record is from RNAcentral.
UACGGGGGGGGCAAGCGUUGUUCGGAAUUAUUGGGCGUAAAGUGUGCGCAGGCGGCCGAGCAAGUCGAGUGUGAAAGCCCCGAGCUUAACUUGGGAACUGCGCUCGAAACUACUUGGCUAGAGUGUGGCAGAGGGAGGUGGAAUUCCACGUGUAGCGGUGAAAUGCGUAGAGAUGUGGAGGAACACCGAUGGCGAAGGCAGCCUCCUGGGCCAACACUGACGCUCAUGCACGAAAGCGUGGGGAGCAAACAGG